Molecule: transfer RNA, 51 nt
Filed under: Orobanche rapum-genistae
Lineage: Eukaryota; Viridiplantae; Streptophyta; Magnoliopsida; Lamiales; Orobanchaceae
Description: partial tRNA-Leu
Source: RNAcentral
AAAAUCCGUCGAUUUUUAAAAUCGUGAGGGUUCAAGUCCCUCUAUCCCCCC